GAUGAAAUCUAUCCAAAGUUGUAUCCAUAAAAUGAUACAGUACAAUACAAUACAAUACAGUACAAUACAUUAUAAAACGAUGGGUAACAAUGAUCCAAACAUAGUGUUAAACCCCAAAACUUCCUUAAUAUAAAGUCCCACUUGAUACUAUACAGUACUCAAAUAUUCAUUUACUUCACCUUGUAUGUACAAAUUACUAAUAUAGUAAGUCUUCAGAGUAUGGAAACAAGCGUAGCUAAUGAGGCACCAAAGGCCACAAUAACGGCGGAGGACUACAAGAAGGAUCUUGAUUUCAUUGAAGAGGUGACUAGCAACGUUGAUGAGGUCCAAUGCAGAGCUCUUGCUGAAAUCCUCUCCCAGAAUGCACAUGUUGAGUACUUGCAACGCUAUAAUCUCAAUGGCCGCACUGAUAGAGAGACGUUCAAGAAAGUCGUACCUGUCAUCACUUACGAAGAUAUUCAGCCCGAUAUCAACCGUAUAGCCUAUGGUGAUAAAUCUCCAAUCCUCUGCUCCCAACCCAUCUCUGAAUUAUUGUCAAGUUCUGGCACGUCUGGAGGGGAGAGCAAAUUGAUACCAACAACAGAGGGAGAGCUUGAGAGGAGAUUACAGCUUCACAAACUUCUGAUGUCUGUGUUGAGUCAAGUGGCUCCAGAUUUUGGAAAGGGCAAAGGAAUGUAUUUCAUGUUCAUAAGCCCUGAACAGAAGACCCCAGGAGGAUUAGUAGCUCGCUUUCUUACAACUAGUUUUUACAAUAGUCCUCACUUCAACUACAGUCGUCUUCAUUACCCCCACUUUAACUACACUAGUCCAACUGCAGCCAUUCUGCCCAGACUCUUACCAAAGCAUGUACUCCCAAAUGCUUUGUGGUCUCUGCCAAAACCAACAAGUUUUCCAGGUUGGCUCCUUUUUUGCGACCAGCUUCAUUCGUGCCAUCCGAUUCUUGGAGAAGCACUGGUCUCUACUUUGUAAUGAUAUCCGAACCGGAACGAUUAACACCCAAAUAACUGAUCCUUUAGUGAGAGAGGCAGUGAUGGAAGUCCUCAAACCUGACCCAACAUUAGCUGAUUUCAUUGAGGUUGAAUGCAGUAAAGAGUCAUGGCAAGGGAUCGUCACUAGGUUGUGGCCUAAUACCAAGUAUGUGGAUGCUGUUGUGACUGGAUCCAUGUCACAAUAUAUACCGAUACUUGAUUAUUACAGCAACAACCUCCCUCUUAUCAGUACUGUGUAUGCUUCCUCGGAAAGCCACUUUGGAAUCAACUUGAACCCUUUUUGUAAGCCUAGCGAAGUCUCUUACACCCUUAUUCCCACCAUUUGCUAUUUUGAGUUCUUACCGUAUCAUGGAAACAGUGGAGUCAUUGAUUCGAUCUCCAUGCCCCAGUCGCUUGAUGAGAAAGAACAACAACAAUUGGUUGAUUUGGCUGAUGUCAAGAUUGGCCAGGAGUACGAGCUUGUCGUUACCACAUAUUCUGGACUCUACAGAUACAGAGUUGGUGAUGUGCUUCGGGUUGCUGGAUACAAGAACAAAGCGCCUCAAUUCAACUUCCUAUGUCGGGAAAAUGUAAUCUUGAGCAUUGGUGCUGACUUCACUAAUGAAGUUGAGCUACAAAACGCAAUGAAAAAUGCAGUGGGCAAUCUGAUGUCAUUUGAUGCUCAGGUAACCGAGUACACCAGCUAUGUUGAUAUUACCACUAUUCCAAGCCACUAUGUCUUAUUCUGGGAGCUGAGUGUGAAUGACUCUACCCCAGUUCCUCCAUCAGUCAUUGAAGAUUGUUGCCUCACAAUUGAAGAAUCUCUAAACUACUUCUACCGCGAGGGCCGUGCGUCUAAUAAAUCAAUCGGCCCUCUAGAAAUUAGGGUGGUGGAAAUUGGAACUUUUGACAAGCUCAUGGACUACUGCAUUAGCUUAGGAUCUUCCAUGAACCAAUACAAGACACCCCGUUGUGUGAAAUAUGCACCCCUUAUUGAGCUGUUGAAUUCAAGGGUCGUAUCCAGCUACUUCAGUCCCAUGUGUCCAAAAUGGGUUCCUGGCUACAAGAAAUGGAACAACACCAAUUAAAUGUCAAGCUUCCAAUUUCUCUGCUUUAAUGUCAACCAUUUGUGGAUUGCUUUAGUGAAUAAUCAUCCUAGCUAUGUUAGUCUUUCACGAACAUGUUAUGGAUUUGUAUUUGUCACAAAUAAAAUAUGGCACUUUUUAUUUCUGUAA
Nicotiana attenuata is the source of this 2203-nucleotide RNA transcript. It is a transcript of the gene named indole-3-acetic acid-amido synthetase GH3.6-like, with no coding region annotated. The record is from RefSeq and is a predicted model, not a curated record. The transcript has 3 exons. NCBI's taxonomy places the organism in Eukaryota, Viridiplantae, Streptophyta, Magnoliopsida, Solanales, Solanaceae.